CAAUGACAGUUCUAAAUUUAAAUUAAAUUGUAAGAAUGAUAGGCAUAUUUUUUGUGCAAAUUCCAUUUUAAGCACUUUAUGGCUUGGUAGGUAACAUAGUAAUACGUAUAUGUAAAUGCGGUAGUGCGGUUAUGACACUUGUACAUGUUUACCGAUGGUAAACUUACGGUUUAUG
Molecule: long non-coding RNA, 175 nt
Organism: Photinus pyralis (common eastern firefly)
Lineage: Eukaryota; Metazoa; Arthropoda; Insecta; Coleoptera; Lampyridae
Exons: 2
Source: RefSeq, a predicted model, not a curated record